Non-coding RNA from Pelobates cultripes (western spadefoot toad), 231 nucleotides. The record is from the annotation of a GenBank genome assembly. NCBI's taxonomy places the organism in Eukaryota, Metazoa, Chordata, Amphibia, Anura, Pelobatidae.
CUCAUCUCUGUUAUAUCUGUAGUCUCCAGCUGCUUAUAAAACAGACACAUAUGCUGGUUAUCAGACAGAACACAUAAUUGUACCGCUGGGGCCUUAAUGUGCAAUACAAUGAUACACUUUGUAAUACAGAUGUUUCAACUUCCUGAUGAAAUGAAUGUCAAUUGGAAAUUAAAGGGAACGCAGAGACUGAAUACUUUCGAUGACCUCUUUUGUUAUUUCUUUUGAAGAUAG